Molecule: ribosomal RNA, 253 nt
Filed under: uncultured bacterium
Lineage: Bacteria
Description: partial 16S ribosomal RNA
Rfam family: Bacterial small subunit ribosomal RNA
Source: RNAcentral
UACGUAGGGAGCAAGCGUUGUCCGGAUUUAUUGGGCGUAAAGAGCUCGUAGGCGGCUUGUCGCGUCGUCUGUGAAAUCCCGCGGCUCAACCGCGGGUCUGCAGUCGAUACGGGCAGGCUAGAGUUCGGUAGGGGAGACUGGAAUUCCUGGUGUAGCGGUGAAAUGCGCAGAUAUCAGGAGGAACACCGGUGGCGAAGGCGGAUCUCUGGGCCUUACCUGACGCUGAGGCGCGAAAGCUAGGGGAGCGAACAGG